This 708-nucleotide ribosomal RNA is filed under the name uncultured Lachnospiraceae bacterium. RNAcentral describes it as "bacterial SSU rRNA". It matches the Rfam family "Bacterial small subunit ribosomal RNA", at positions 56 to 766 of the family's 1533-position model. Lineage: Bacteria; Bacillati; Bacillota; Clostridia; Lachnospirales; Lachnospiraceae. The record is from RNAcentral.
UGCAAGUCGAGCGAAGCGGCUGAAUUGAUUCUUCGGAUGAUUUUCAGUUGACUGAGCGGCGGACGGGUGAGUAACGCGUGGGUGACCUGCCCCAUACCGGGGGAUAACAGCUGGAAACGGCUGCUAAUACCGCAUAAGCGCACGAAGCUGCAUGGCUUUGUGUGAAAAACUCCGGUGGUAUGGGAUGGGCCCGCGUCUGAUUAGGCAGUUGGCGGGGUAACGGCCCACCAAACCGACGAUCAGUAGCCGGCCUGAGAGGGCGACCGGCCACAUUGGGACUGAGACACGGCCCAAACUCCUACGGGAGGCAGCAGUGGGGAAUAUUGCACAAUGGGGGAAACCCUGAUGCAGCGACGCCGCGUGAGCGAAGAAGUAUUUCGGUAUGUAAAGCUCUAUCAGCAGGGAAGAUAAUGACGGUACCUGACUAAGAAGCCCCGGCUAACUACGUGCCAGCAGCCGCGGUAAUACGUAGGGGGCAAGCGUUAUCCGGAUUUACUGGGUGUAAAGGGAGCGUAGACGGCAAGGCAAGUCUGAUGUGAAAACCCAGGGCUUAACCCUGGGACUGCAUUGGAAACUGUCUGGCUCGAGUGCCGGAGAGGUAAGCGGAAUUCCUAGUGUAGCGGUGAAAUGCGUAGAUAUUAGGAAGAACACCAGUGGCGAAGGCGGCUUACUGGACGGUAACUGACGUUGAGGCUCGAAAGCGUGGGG